Meriones unguiculatus (Mongolian gerbil) is the source of this 107-nucleotide small nuclear RNA. The record is from Ensembl. NCBI's taxonomy places the organism in Eukaryota, Metazoa, Chordata, Mammalia, Rodentia, Muridae.
CUCCUCACUCCGGCAGCACGUACACUAAAAUUGCAACGACACAGAGAAGAUCAGUGUGGCCUCUGUGCAAGGAGGACACACAAAUUCGGGAGGCGUUCCACAGUUUU